UUAUCCUGCCUCGCUUCAGGUGCCGGAUGCGUGACACACAUCCGGUGAAACGGGAAGCCGGUGCGACCAUGGCCCAAGGCCAUGGACAAUGCCGGCGCUGCCCCCGCAACGGUAGGCGAGGUGGGGGGUCCAUGGUGUUUCCAGGAUCCCCGGCAGGGCGAUACAACCACUGCGCGCAAGCGUGGGAAGGUGCCCUGACCAGGUCGUACAUGACCCGCCCGCGAGCCCGGAGACCGGCCUGAUGCGCUUACGCGGC
RNAcentral lists this non-coding RNA (256 nucleotides) under Ectothiorhodospira sp. The record is from RNAcentral. Lineage: Bacteria; Pseudomonadati; Pseudomonadota; Gammaproteobacteria; Chromatiales; Ectothiorhodospiraceae.